CGAGCUCUCAGAUGGGAGGAACAGGUGACAGGGAGCCCUCCCCAGGGGAGCCGCGCCCCGAACCUCACAGGCGGGCGUGUGGAGCGGGAGGCGGGGGUGGGGUGAGGCCUCCAGACCCCAUGGAAGAUUGAAAUGUCAUCUGUCUCGUUUUCAAAGGAAGCUCAGCGGGCUCCAUCCCCGCCUUUUGCAAGAAGAUGACUCUUCUGCCAGAUGGGAGGGGACGCCCACCUCCGCCACGCCAGCUUCUGUCUUCCUCCCGGUGACGGCACCACAGCUCCCCCGGCACCGCGUACAUUCCUGAAGUGGUGCCCCCACGAUGCCUCGGAAAGUAACCAUGGCCGCCCUCAUGGCAGCUCACCUGUUUUGGGGUAUUUUAUUCGCAUCUGCAGAGUAGAGAGGAACAUUCCAGAAUGUGAAGACUUCAGAACGUGGACCCUGGGUUCUGGAGAGCAGGUGGCCUGACUUUUAGCUGGGAGCUGGGGGGAUACACCCACAACUCAGUGGGAGGACCCCCAGCCGCUCUGGAGACCUGGCUUUCCAGUAGGUCUGCAUAGCUCUGAAUUGAUUUUGGAAGAAACCGCCCUGAACUGUUUUUCUCACUGCCCUGUCUGGAAAAAAAAAACAUCACCUUGUAACUUUAUGUAAAUGAGCCACAUAGCAUGCUCCUUUGCAGGAGGGGCUCAGCAUGCCUGCCUGGUUCCUCCUCGUUACUGAGCUGGAUCUCAGAAUGGGAAAAGACCAUAGUUUAUCUACCUGCUCUUGAGGGGUGUGUGGAAAGUUCCCUGUUUGAGAUCUACAAAGAACCUUCUCUCCUGGUGAACACAAGCGUGCAUUUCACACGGGUGGACUUCCAGCAGCAGAAUUGCUGGGUCAUAGGUCACUGGCAUGCCAGCUCUUGGUGGGACCACAAACCAUCUUUGGAGUGGUUGUGCAAUAGCAAUACAAGCUUCUAUCAGGAGGAUGAGGCCCCGCUUGCCCAUGUCCUCACCAGGACUGGAUGUCUUCCCUCUGAACUUCAGCCAUCCUAGUGGGUGCUGCAUCUUUUAGAGAAAUGAGCUUGACACAUACUUCUACCAUGUCUUGAUAACUCAAGGUCACAGUCAUUAGCAUUAACCACAGUCCUAAUGAUGUACUCAAGCUGAGCAGGCAGGUGUCCCAUGUCAUGCACUCAGGGCCCCCCAGUUAGCAAUGACUCCACCUGCACAGAACCCACAAUAGCUGCCAGAUGACAGAUCUGCCUAGGGCUCCUGAGGUCUCUGCCAUGCUUACCUCCCUGUUAGCUACCCCUUUGCCCUUCCUGCCAGUGGGUCUCCUGUAGAAAUUGUUCUCACCAUUGGAGCAAUUUAAAGAGAGCGAUGAUGACCCUGAGCUUCCUGCUGCUGCCCAGCCUGUUUCCGUUACCACUGAGCCUUCAUUUGGUUCAAUGCUCUGUUCAAUGCUCUGAAAUAUCUCAGAGACUUGAAUCUGUUCUGCCUGGAGCAAACAUGCCCUGCUUCACCUUCAUUCAUUCAUUCACUCAUUCACUGAUUUGUUCAUUCAGCAAAUACUCAUUGAGUAUCUGGUCUGUGUCCAGGAUAAUUUAGGUUGUGGGUGAAGGCCAAGGACAGUUACGGCCCCAAGCUUGUUGAGCUCGUAAGGCCACCCAGGGACACAUGGCUCAUGUUGUGAGCCAUGGCUCAUGUUCUACCCCCACUCCACCAUCCACACCACAAAGCAUGUUCUUCUCCACAGAUGGGCACGGGCAGUGUGGAACCUUCCAUACCUGCCCACUAGAUGAUCACCCAUCCUGCUUCUCCCAGGACUGAGGGGCUUCCCAGGACAUGGGACUUUCACUGCAGAAACUGGAAAUGUCCAGGCAAUCCAGGAUGAGUUUGGCACCCUACUGCUCACUGAGUCCUGGGACCCACAGCUGUGAGAGGGCUGCAUAUGGAACCGGUGGUUGUGCCUGCCUCAGGCAUGUCUCAGACCUGUCCCAGGUGUCUCCUAAGCACUACCACUCACUCAGGUUCAGAGAGAAAAGAGCAAGCUGGAGCCAUCCAGGUAGGAUACUUCAGACUGAGUGAAGAAAUGAAGGAUGAUGCUGUCUAACUGAAUGAGAGAUGAGCUGCUCAGAGACAAGACUCAUUGGAAACAUCUAUCCUUGUGAACACAAGACUCACCAGAUCCCUGCUCAAGACUCAGUGGAAACAUCUGAAGGGCCCCAUUUCCUCAGAAAGCCUCCACUGACCACAAGGCAGGUUGGGUCCCUGUACUGGUUCUUAUGGUCCCCUGUAUGUGUCCUGUUUUGCCCUUUCCUGAUGUAUUGAGGGAGCUCAGGGCUGAGUCUAUCUCCUUCUCCUUUAAAGCUCAGCACCUACUACAUAACA
Homo sapiens (human) is the source of this 2366-nucleotide long non-coding RNA. The record is from Ensembl. Lineage: Eukaryota; Metazoa; Chordata; Mammalia; Primates; Hominidae.